UGGGGAAUUUUGGACAAUGGGCGAAAGCCUGAUCCAGCAAUGCCGCGUGUGUGAAGAAGGCCUUCGGGUUGUAAAGCACUUUUGUCCGGAAAGAAAUCCUUGGCUCUAAUACAGUCGGGGGAUGACGGUACCGGAAGAAUAAGCACCGGCUAACUACGUGCCAGCAGCCGCGGUAAUACGUAGGGUGCAAGCGUUAAUCGGAAUUACUGGGCGUAAAGCGUGCGCAGGCGGUUUGCUAAGACCGAUGUGAAAUCCCCGGGCUCAACCUGGGAACUGCAUUGGUGACUGGCAGGCUAGAGUAUGGCAGAGGGGGGUAGAAUUCCACGUGUAGCAGUGAAAUGCGUAGAGAUGUGGAGGAAUACCGAUGGCGAAGGCAGCCCCCUGGGCCAAUACUGACGCUCAUGCACGAAAGCGUGGGGAGCAAACAGGAUUAGAUACCCCUGGUAGUCCACGCCCUAAACGAUGUCAACUAGUUGUUGGGGAUUCAUUUCCUUAGUAACGUAGCUAACGCGUGAAGUUGACCGCCUGGGGAGUACGGUCGCAAGAUUAAAACUCAAAUGAAUUGACGGGGUC
RNAcentral lists this ribosomal RNA (573 nucleotides) under uncultured bacterium. RNAcentral describes it as "partial 16S ribosomal RNA". It matches the Rfam family "Bacterial small subunit ribosomal RNA", at positions 355 to 920 of the family's 1533-position model. The record is from RNAcentral.